Long non-coding RNA from Myodes glareolus (Bank vole), 753 nucleotides. RefSeq lists it as uncharacterized. The record is from RefSeq and is a predicted model, not a curated record. NCBI's taxonomy places the organism in Eukaryota, Metazoa, Chordata, Mammalia, Rodentia, Cricetidae.
GCGCUCUGCACCAGAGCCGGAACUGGUGCGUGAGUGGUGGUGGUUUUCUCAGGACCCUUUUUGGCUGGAGACCUGGCUCUUCCCUAUCUCCUGCGGUGCCCUUUAUAGGCGAUCACAGGGAAGGACCACCCCUUGGUGAUCUCGGACCUCAACAGAGUCUCAAAAAUCAUUUCAAUGUCCCCUCUCACGUGCUCGGAAAGACCAUGUCUUCCCGGCUGUGCAAAGAACUGCGGCGAAAGUACAACGUCCGCUCCUUUCCCAUCUGCAAGGACGACGAGGUCCAGAUAUGAAGAAACUGAUGCUCAAGCUAAAUAAUGAGUUGAGGAUGACAUUGAACCUCUGAUCUUCCUGAGUGCUGGCCUGAGAACACAGGCACGUGCUCCUGUUCUAGGCUUGUGCAGUGCGAGGCCUGUGCAUACAAGCACAUUCUCCACCACUGACUCUACUCCCAGCCACCGGUGCUUAUCACCAGGCUGGAACCAGCCAGACAGGAAACAAAUCUUCAACACAAAGCCACGUCUGGUCAAGUCGGGAAAGAGAAAGGCCAAUGUAGGGAGCUCACGAGGACGGAGGAGUGAGGUGAGCUGUCAGGCAGCCAGAGCUAACUGCAGAGGCCUGCUCUUGUGCGGCGCCUUUAAAACUUUCAGAGCGUGUCUACUUCAUCGUCCACCUGUUCUCUACUGACCUGUCCCUCUGUCAAUCUCCUUUUGUAGUUUUGAUAAUUUAUGAAUAAAAAUUGGAACCAUUUCUUAA